AGAGCACAAGGAGAAUGCCUUGGCACUAGGAGCCGAUGAAAGACGUGGUAAGCUGCGAAAAGCUUCGGGGAGGCGCAAACAGCCAUCGAUCCGGAGAUAUCUGAAUGGGGAAACCUACUUGAGCAAACCUCAAGUAUCCAUACGUGAAUCCAUAGCGUAUGGAAGGGAACGCUGUGAACUGAAACAUCUAAGUAGCAGUAGGAGGAGAAAGAAAACUCGAUUUCCUAAGUAGCGGCGAGCGAACGGGAAAGAGGCCAAACCGAAGGACCUGGUUCUUCGGGGUUGCGGACUGCAAUUAGCAUUGCUGAGAGAUAGACGAAUGGUUUUGGGAAAGCCAGCCGUAGACGGUGAAAGCCCGGUAGACGAAAUCUUGAAGCAGCGAGCAGGAUCCAGAGUACCACGAGACACGAGAAACCUUGUGGGAAGCCGGGGGGACCACCCCCCAAGCCUAAAUACUCCCUAGUGACCGAUAGUGAAGCAGUACUGUGAAGGAAAGGUGAAAAGGACCCCGGGAGGGGAGUGAAAGAGAACCUGAAACCUUGUGCUUACAAACAGUCAAAGGACGCAAGUCUGAUGGCGUACUUUUUGUAGAACGGUCCGGCGAGUUACUAAUGCCAGCGAGGUUAAGUGGUCAGAAGCCACGGAGCCGAAGGGAAACCAAGUCUGAAUAGGGCGUAGAGUUGGUAUUAGUAGACCCGAAACCGGGUGACCUAUCCAUGUCCAGGUUGAAGGAACCGUAAAAGGUUUUGGAGGACCGAACACACAUGUGUUGAAAAACGUGGUGAUGAGGUGUGGAUAGCGGAGAAAUUCCAAUCGAACUCGGAGAUAGCUGGUUCUCCUCGAAAUAGCUUUAGGGCUAGCCUCGAGCUGGAGUCUAACGGAGGUAAAGCACUGAACUGACGCGGGGCCCAAAAAGGUUACCAACUCAUAUCAAACUAAGAAUGCCGUCAAGAUACCCUCGGGAGUCAGUCUGCGUGAGAUAAGUCGCGUGGACAAAAGGGAAAGAGCCCAGACCGACAGCUAAGGUCCCAAAGUACGUGUUAAGUGGAAAAGGAUGUGGGAUUUCAUAGACAACUAGGAUGUUGGCUUAGAAGCAGCCAUACAUUUAAAGAGUGCGUAAUAGCUCACUAGUCGAGAAAACCUGCGCCGAAAAUGUAACGGGGCUAAAACACGACACCGAAGCUACGGAUUCCUUACAAAGUAAGGAGUGGUAGAGGAGCAUCCUGCAAGGACGAAGCCAAAGUGAGAGCGAUGGUGGACGAAACAGGAGAGAGAAUGCCGGAAUGAGUAGCGAGAUACAUGUGAGAAACAUGUAGGCCGAAUAUCUAAGGAUUCCUGGGUAAAGCUAAUCUUCCCAGGGUUAGUCGGGGCCUAAGGCGAGGACGAAAGUCGUAGUCGAUGGAUAACAGGUUGAUAUUCCUGUACUACACAUAAUCAGAACUGUGGGGACGCAGGAGGAUAGGGAAACCGGGGAAUGGAAAGACCCGGUCAAGCGUAAAGCUGUGGGAGAUAGGCAAAUCCGUCUCCUGUAAGUGAAACGUGAUGAGGACUGAAAAAAAGUAAGGAAGUUUCCGAAUCCACACUGCCGAGAAAAGCCGCUAUUGCGUUAUGUGUACCCGUACCGUAAACCGACACAGGUAGAUGAGGAGAAAAUCCACAGGCCGACGGGAGAAGUGUUGUUAAGGAACUCGGCAAAAUGACCCCGUAACUUCGGGAUAAGGGGAGCCUCGCAAGAGGCCGCAGAAAAGAGGCACAAGCAACUGUUUAGCAAAAACAUAGGUCUAUGCGAAACCGUAAGGUGAAGUAUAUGGGCUGACGCCUGCCCGGUGCUGGAAGGUUAAAAGGAGAGGUCAGCGCAAGCGAAGCUUUGAAUUCAAGCCCCAGUAAACGGCGGCCGUAACUAUAACGGUCCUAAGGUAGCGAAAUUCCUUGUCGGGGAAGUUCCGACCCGCACGAAAGGCGUAAUGAUUUGAGCACUGUCUCGA
This 1985-nucleotide ribosomal RNA is filed under the name human gut metagenome. Its description in RNAcentral is "bacterial LSU rRNA". It matches the Rfam family "Bacterial large subunit ribosomal RNA", at positions 14 to 2024 of the family's 2925-position model. The record is from RNAcentral.